This 440-nucleotide ribosomal RNA is filed under the name uncultured bacterium. Its description in RNAcentral is "partial 16S ribosomal RNA". It matches the Rfam family "Bacterial small subunit ribosomal RNA", at positions 338 to 795 of the family's 1533-position model. The record is from RNAcentral.
CCUACGGGUGGCAGCAGUGAGGAAUAUUGGUCAAUGGACGAGAGUCUGAACCAGCCAAGUAGCGUGAAGGAUGACUGCCCUAUGGGUUGUAAAGCUCUGUCCUCAAGGAAGAUAAUGACGGUACUUGAGGAGGAAGCCCCGGCUAACUACGUGCCAGCAGCCGCGGUAAUACGUAGGGGGCUAGCGUUAUCCGGAAUUACUGGGCGUAAAGGGUGCGUAGGUGGUUUCUUAAGUCAGAGGUGAAAGGUUACGGCUCAACCCCAUCCAGCCGUUGAAACUGGGGAUCUAGAGUGGGCGAGAGGUAUGCGGAAUGCGUGGUGUAGCGGUGAAAUGCAUAGAUAUCAUGCAGAACCCCGAUUGCGAAGGCAGCAUACCGGUGCACAACUGACGCUCAGGCACGAAAGCGUGGGUAUCGAACAGGAUUAGAUACCCUAGUAGUC